Molecule: ribosomal RNA, 536 nt
Filed under: uncultured bacterium
Lineage: Bacteria
Description: bacterial SSU rRNA
Rfam family: Bacterial small subunit ribosomal RNA
Source: RNAcentral
AAUAGAUACCCUGGUAGUCCACGCCGUAAACGAUGUCUACUAGCCGUUGGGAGACUUGAUUUCUUAGUGGCGCAGCUAACGCAAUAAGUAGACCGCCUGGGGAGUACGGCCGCAAGGUUAAAACUCAAAUGAAUUGACGGGGGCCCGCACAAGCGGUGGAGCAUGUGGUUUAAUUCGAUGCAACGCGAAGAACCUUACCAGGUCUUGACAUCCUAGGAACUUUCCAGAGAUGGAUUGGUGCCUUCGGGAGCCUAGAGACAGGUGCUGCAUGGCUGUCGUCAGCUCGUGUCGUGAGAUGUUGGGUUAAGUCCCGUAACGAGCGCAACCCUUGUCCUUAGUUGCCAGCACGUAAAGGUGGGAACUCUAAGGAGACUGCCGGUGACAAGCCGGAGGAAGGUGGGGACGACGUCAAGUCAUCAUGGCCCUUACGACCUGGGCUACACACGUGCUACAAUGGAACGCACAGAGGGCAGCAAAGGCGCGAGCUGGAGCGAAUCCCACAAAACGUUUCGUAGUCCGGAUCGGAGUCUGCUAAC